GACGAACGCUGGCGGCGUGCCUAAUACAUGCAAGUUGAGCGCUGAAGGUUGGUACUUGUACCAACUGGAUGAGCAGCGAACGGGUGAGUAACGCGUGGGGAAUCUGCCUUUGAGCGGGGGACAACAUUUGGAAACGAAUGCUAAUACCGCAUAAAAACUUUAAACACAAGUUUUAAGUUUGAAAGAUGCAAUUGCAUCACUCAAAGAUGAUCCCGCGUUGUAUUAGCUAGUUGGUGAGGUAAAGGCUCACCAAGGCGAUGAUACAUAGCCGACCUGAGAGGGUGAGCGGCCACAUUGGGACUGAGACACGGCCCAAACUCCUACGGGAGGCAGCAGUAGGGAAUCUUCGGCAAUGGACGAAAGGCUGACCGAGCAACGCCGCGUGAGUGAAGAAGGUUUUCGGAUCGUAAAACUCUGUUGGUAGAGAAGAACGUUGGUGAGAGUGGAAAGCUCAUCAAGUGACGGUAACUACCCAGAAAGGGACGGCUAACUACGUG
RNAcentral lists this ribosomal RNA (497 nucleotides) under uncultured bacterium. RNAcentral describes it as "partial 16S ribosomal RNA". It matches the Rfam family "Bacterial small subunit ribosomal RNA", at positions 28 to 507 of the family's 1533-position model. The record is from RNAcentral.